RNAcentral lists this non-coding RNA (27 nucleotides) under Homo sapiens (human). Lineage: Eukaryota; Metazoa; Chordata; Mammalia; Primates; Hominidae. The record is from RNAcentral.
GACAUCUGGACAGUGAGCAGGAGGCGC